GAUGAACGCUAGCGAUAGGCUUAACACAUGCAAGUCGAGGGGCAGCAUGGUCUUAGCUUGCUAAGACUGAUGGCGACCGGCGCACGGGUGCGUAACGCGUAUGCAACUUGCCUCACAGAGGGGGAUAACCCGUCGAAAGACGGACUAAUACCGCGUACACUCCAUCUUGGGCAUCCAAGGUAGAGGAAAUGAAAUUCGCUGUUAGAUAGGCAUGCGUCCCAUUAGCUAGUUGGUGAGGUAACGGCUCACCAAGGCGACGAUGGGUAGGGGAACUAAGAGGUUGAACCCCGAGACUGGUACUGGGACAAGGACCAGACGCGUACGGGAGGCAGCAGUGAGGAAUAUAGGGAAAUGGGCGAGAGCCUGAACCAGCGAAGUAGCGUGAAGGAGGACUGUCUUAUGGAUUGUAAACUUCUUUGAUACGGGAAUAACAAGAGUCACGUGUGAAUAACUGCAGGUACCGGAUGAAUAAGCAACGGCUAACUCCGUG
Molecule: ribosomal RNA, 490 nt
Filed under: uncultured bacterium
Lineage: Bacteria
Description: partial 16S ribosomal RNA
Rfam family: Bacterial small subunit ribosomal RNA
Source: RNAcentral